GACGAACGCUGGCGGCGCGCCUAACACAUGCAAGUCGAACGAAGCACAUCGACAGAAGUACUUGUACGGAAGAUGAUGUGACUUAGUGGCGGACGGGUGAGUAACACGUGAGCAACCUACCUUUGUGAGGGGGAUAAUAUCGGGAAACUGGUACUAAUACCGCAUAAUAUAUGGAGAUGACAUCAUCACCAUAUCAAAGAUUUAUCGCACAAAGAUGGGCUCGCGCCUGAUUAGAUAGUUGGUGAGGUAAUGGCUCACCAAGUCGACGAUCAGUAGCCGGACUGAGAGGUUGAACGGCCACAUUGGGACUGAGACACGGCCCAGACUCCUACGGGAGGCAGCAGUGGGGGAUAUUGCACAAUGGAGGAAACUCUGAUGCAGCGACGCCGCGUGAGGGAAGACGGUUUUCGGAUUGUAAACCUCUGUCUUCAGGGACGAAACAAAUGACGGUACCUGAAGAGGAAGCCACGGCUAACUACGUG
This 482-nucleotide ribosomal RNA is filed under the name uncultured bacterium. RNAcentral describes it as "bacterial SSU rRNA". It matches the Rfam family "Bacterial small subunit ribosomal RNA", at positions 28 to 507 of the family's 1533-position model. The record is from RNAcentral.